GCAGAAGGAUCAUUAGUGAAGAUUCAAGGGCCAGCCAUACAGACGUACAAUAAGUGUGUCUCUGGCGGCUCGCAUCCACUAUACAUCCAUAAACCCGUGUGCACUGUUCUAAGGAGUAAGAAAGAAGAAGGGGAGGGGAGAGAGAGUGCAUGUGCUUUGCAUAUAACUCUCUCUCACUCUCCACUCUCUUUCUCUCUCCGGUUAAUUACAAACUCGUAUGGAUUUGUAUGAACGUGAGAUAUAUCGUUGGACCGUCACUGGCCAACAAAUAUAACACAACUUUCGACAACGGAUCUCUUGGUUCUCCCA
Molecule: unclassified non-coding RNA, 309 nt
Filed under: uncultured fungus
Lineage: Eukaryota; Fungi
Description: partial contains 18S rRNA, ITS1, 5.8S rRNA
Source: RNAcentral